CCUACGGGAGGCAGCAGUGGGGAAUAUUGGACAAUGGGCGAAAGCCUGAUCCAGCCAUGCCGCGUGUGUGAAGAAGGCCUUCGGGUUGUAAAGCACUUUCAGUGGGGAAGAAAGCCUUGGGGCUAAUACCCUCGAGGAAGGACAUCACCCACAGAAGAAGCACCGGCUAACUCCGUGCCAGCAGCCGCGGUAAUACGGAGGGUGCGAGCGUUAAUCGGAAUUACUGGGCGUAAAGCGCGCGUAGGCGGUCUGAUCAGCCGGUUGUGAAAGCCCCGGGCUCAACCUGGGAACGGCAUCCGGAACUGUCAGGCUAGAGUGCAGGAGAGGAAGGUAGAAUUCCCGGUGUAGCGGUGAAAUGCGUAGAGAUCGGGAGGAAUACCAGUGGCGAAGGCGGCCUUCUGGACUGACACUGACGCUGAGGUGCGAAAGCGUGGGUAGCAAACAGGAUUAGAUACCCGAGUAGUC
RNAcentral lists this ribosomal RNA (465 nucleotides) under Vreelandella stevensii. RNAcentral describes it as "partial 16S ribosomal RNA". It matches the Rfam family "Bacterial small subunit ribosomal RNA", at positions 338 to 795 of the family's 1533-position model. Lineage: Bacteria; Pseudomonadati; Pseudomonadota; Gammaproteobacteria; Oceanospirillales; Halomonadaceae. The record is from RNAcentral.